Molecule: long non-coding RNA, 248 nt
Organism: Dalotia coriaria
Lineage: Eukaryota; Metazoa; Arthropoda; Insecta; Coleoptera; Staphylinidae
Exons: 2
Source: RefSeq, a predicted model, not a curated record
UAAAGGACGAAUAAACCGCGUUGUAUGUCGUUUCGCGCGCGUCGCCGGCGGUUUCUGAAUCUAAUUACGACAUAGAAUUGCACAAUAUCAAUCACACUACAUGGCACAAACUCAUGAGAACACGCUGGGUGUGCAUGUGUCGACGCUUGACGCGCUUGAACAAUACUAACAAAAUCAGCACCAACAAACAUUCGAAACGCAACAAACGACCAAUCCAACCAAACCUACAUUCAUUGCUUCCAACAGUU